GUAGGUGGCAAGCGUUGUCCGGAAUUAUUGGGCGUAAAGCGCGCGCAGGCGGUCCUUUAAGUCUGAUGUGAAAGCCCACGGCUCAACCGUGGAGGGUCAUUGGAAACUGGGGGACUUGAGUACAGAAGAGGAAAGCGGAAUUCCAAGUGUAGCGGUGAAAUGCGUAGAGAUUUGGAGGAACACCAGUGGCGAAGGCGGCUUUCUGGUCUGUAACUGACGCUGAGGCGCGAAAGCGUGGGGAGCAAACAGGAUUAGAUACCCUGGUAGUCCACGCCGUAAACGAUGAGUGCUAAGUGUCAGGGGGUUUCCCGCCCCUUAGUGCUGCAGCUAACGCAUUAAGCACUCCGCCUGGGGAUACGGCCGCAAGGCUG
This 371-nucleotide ribosomal RNA is filed under the name uncultured organism. RNAcentral describes it as "partial 16S ribosomal RNA". It matches the Rfam family "Bacterial small subunit ribosomal RNA", at positions 527 to 896 of the family's 1533-position model. The record is from RNAcentral.